This 63-nucleotide transfer RNA is filed under the name Cavia porcellus (domestic guinea pig). It matches the Rfam family "tRNA", at positions 5 to 66 of the family's 71-position model. From Rfam's summary of the family: Transfer RNA (tRNA) molecules are approximately 80 nucleotides in length. Their secondary structure includes four short double-helical elements and three loops (D, anti-codon, and T loops). Lineage: Eukaryota; Metazoa; Chordata; Mammalia; Rodentia; Caviidae. The record is from Rfam by way of RNAcentral.
GUGUGGCUCGGUGGUAGAGCACUUGUCUACCAUGUAUGAGACCCUAGGUUCAAUCCCCAGCAC